This 507-nucleotide ribosomal RNA is filed under the name uncultured bacterium. Its description in RNAcentral is "bacterial SSU rRNA". It matches the Rfam family "Bacterial small subunit ribosomal RNA", at positions 19 to 518 of the family's 1533-position model. The record is from RNAcentral.
CUGGCUCAGGAUGAACGCUAGCGGCAGGCUUAACACAUGCAAGUCGAGGGGCAGCGUGGAGCAGCAAUACUCUGACGGCGACCGGCGAAAGGGUGAGUAACGCGUGAGCAACAUGCCCGGUAGUGGAGAAUAGUCGAUGGAAACGUCGCGUAAUACUCCGUAACAUAGGAGACCGCAUGAUCUUCUAUUAAUAGAUUUAUCGCUACCGGAUUGGCUCGCGUACCAUUAGCUAGUUGGCGGGGUAACGGCCCACCAAGGCGACGAUGGUUAGGGGUUCUGAGAGGAAGGUCCCCCACAUUGGAACUGAGACACGGUCCAGACUCCUACGGGAGGCAGCAGUGAGGAAUAUUGGACAAUGGCCGAGAGGCUGAUCCAGCCAUGCCGCGUGCGGGGAAAGACGGCCCUAUGGGUUGUAAACCGCUUUUGUUGGGGAGCAAUAAGGUCCACGUGUGGAUCGAUGAGAGUACCCAGCGAAUAAGCAUCGGCUAACUCCGUGCCAGCAGCGGC